UGGUUCCGGCAUCGAUGAAGAACGCAGCGAAAUGCGAUAACUAAUGUGAAUUGCAGAAUUCAGUGAAUCAUCGAGUCUUUGAACGCACAUUGCGCCCCCUGGUAUUCCGGGGGGCAUGCCUGUCCGAGCGUCAUUGCUGCCCUCAAGCCCGGCUUGUGUGUUGGGCCCUCGUCCCCCGGCUCCCGGGGGACGGGCCCGAAAGGCAGCGGCGGCACCGCGUCCGGUCCUCGAGCGUAUGGGGCUUCGUCUUCCGCUGCGUAGGCCCGGCCGGCGCCCGCCGACGCAUUUAUUUGCAACUUGUUUUUUUCCAGGUUGACCUCGGAUCAGGUAGGGAUACCCGCUGA
This 344-nucleotide unclassified non-coding RNA is filed under the name uncultured fungus. RNAcentral describes it as "partial contains 5.8S ribosomal RNA and internal transcribed spacer 2". The stretch from base 1 to 133 matches the Rfam family "5.8S ribosomal RNA", at positions 22 to 154 of the family's 154-position model. Lineage: Eukaryota; Fungi. The record is from RNAcentral.